GACUUUCUCAUGCUCUCUUCCCACAAGCCAACAGUUCCAAAGCCGUGAGAUUUCUGCUUCUGCCAACCUAGAGCUGAACGGUGCACCAUCUCAGUGACAGCUUCCUUGCAGGCUGACCUACUUUGACCAAUGACUUUCAGGAUUGUCCUCCUCCAAGCCAACUGCCACAUGUGAACGCUAGCCUGCUGGAAAGGGCACACGGAGAAUAGUGGUGUCAUGAGUGAUAGCCCCAACCAGUGACCAGUUGAGUGAUGGAAGCCACCUUCCACAGGCAAGCCAAUGAACCAAAAAUUUGAUUCUGCUCCUAGAAUUGCCAGGAACACGUCACCUCCUUAGCAGGUGCUCGGAACAUAUUUGGAAGAUGAGUCCCCUCGUAUCAGUGCACAUUCCUCAGCAAAAAGUCACAGGCUGCAAAACUUCAAAAAAAAAAAAAAAGCAGGAAAACGGUGUAUGUGCUUCAGAGAGCCACCCACUGUGCCAAGCACGGCGACGUAAGCCGUCUCAUUUGAACCUCCUCACAACAGGAUGGGAACUGCAUAAUCUGGGCACAGUGCCCCAUGCCUGUGCCCUAGCACUCAGCGAGUUGAGGAAGGAAGACCAGAAGGUACAGGGUCAUUCUCGGCCAUAUUUGCGGUUUGCGGCCAGCCUGGGAGACCCAGACUUGGGCUAGUGAAGAACUGUGGAUAUGAACUGCAGGAUUGCUGUAAGGAACAGCUGACACCCUGAACUCUGCACGGAGAACGCUGUAGUGAGAGAACUGUCGGGGAGAGAGGAACAUGGUACCAAAGUAGGAAUGGGUGAGGCUCUGUGUGCCCACAGGACAUGUCCUUUCAUGGGUUGUGGGUCAGGUUCAGCCACAGUGUGAUUGCUCAGCUGAUGUGUGUAUGCUAAAGGGCAGGGUCCAUGCAUUAGGAGUGGCUGGGCUGGGCUGGUGUGGUGUGCUGUGUUUCCCGUGGGGAUGGCGGUGAUUCAUUACCCUUCCCAGCCCGCUCAGCUUCUAUCAGGGUUCAACUUGUAGUAAACAAGUCAGAAAAUGCCAUCUGGGUGAGAAAGAGACGGGGGGGGGGGGGGGGGCGGGGAGCUUCCGAGGUGACCCUCAGUGUCCUGUCAGCCCCAAAUCUUCCUGGAAACUACACACUGGAUCCACAGAGCUCAGAAUCUCUCUCACCAAUGGCAGAAAACCCUUCUUCACCCAAUUUCCGAUCUUUUUUUUUUUUUCUGGAAUGUUCUAGAAACUCUACUCUCCUGGGAUGAUUCUGAGAUAUAACCACUCCAGCUUGCGCUGGGGGUGGGAGUGGGGGUGGGUGUUCUGCUGCCCAGAGGAUAUCUGUUGGGGUGCUUCUGGGAGGUGUGCAUCAAUAAAUCAACCUGUGCAUGCUAUUAAUCAACAGUUUCCCUGAAGUCUGGCCAGCGAAAUUCAGGCUUGUUGUCUAAGUGAGUAGGUCUGACGUUCUCGGAGCAGAGAACACAGGAGACACAGUUCAGCCCGCAAGAUGAAUAAAACCACAAUCACAACAAGAGCACAACUAGAGGAACGAUUAAUUGUCAGAUUGUGAGAGUCUCCCUUGGUUCACCAGGGCUUUCAAAAGGACAGGUAAGACUAGCCAGUUUGCCCCAAAAAUAGGCCAAACGAGACUGGAAGGGCUUGAGCACUAGAAGUUCAAGGCUCUGACCCUGGGAGGCUGAGGCUAAGAUGGUUCUAGGACUGGUUCCCUCUGAGGCUGUGAGCAAGACUGUUUAACUCCUGUCUCGCUUCUGCUGGCGACUAGCAUUUGUUUGUGUCUGCUAGUCUCUACCGUUGAAACAACCACAUCUGCACAGACCCCGUUCCAAGCAAGGUUGCAUUCUGAGGUACGGAGGUCUAGGAGUUCAAUCCAUGAAUUAUGGAUGGCGACACAUAAUUUAACCCAUAGCAUAACCAGAAGCGGGUUCCACAUAUGGAUCACGCACAGGAUCUUCUUUUGCCAGUCCACACAGAUCGCCAACGAGUCUUCCCGAAAACGACUUGCACUCCCCCGGCCCCGCCCUUCGAGGUGGUAGCCGGCCUCACCUUAUCUUACUUGCAACUCAGGUGUGACUGGCCCCACCCUGGGUAAGAGGUUACUGUGAGCAACCAACACUGGGAGAUCAUGGAGGAAUGGGGCCAAGAAGGGACCUCAGGAUAAAAAUAGCUCCAGCAGUAGGGGUAGGUGGCGUGUGACCAGAUGACCUUUGCCCUUUGAGACUUUGAAAGUCACCAGGUUGGGAUGACUCAGCUCUCCGCUCAUCACCUUGGGGAAGAGUGACCGUACAUGGGGGGGGCGGGUCACUUCUCUUUUCCUUCCUCCCCUGGCAGCUCUUCUGGAGCUUCCAGAAGCCUGAAGAGGAUCCCAUGACGACACUGAUGUAAUCCUGUGUGCCCUGUAAAAGGGGGGUGGUGGAUCAGAACUGAACUGUCUUUCAAAGCAGGCUUUGGACUGAGCGCUCUGGACCCAUUAAUGCAAGGUCUGACUCUUCCAGACUGAGAGACUGCUGAAGGAAGAAGCAGUGACCCACGGCUGAGUACAGUGGCCAGGGUUCCAGGGUACACAUCUGUCAAUUCACCCCUCUGGAGGCAUGGGCUGCUGGAAGUGAGUUCCGUGAGAAACUGUUUGGUAUAAUCCGUGAAUACUGAGAGAACUGUAGGCUGUCUGUGGGGAAGAGGGAGCAGGUGUUGCCCUCUCGCCUGUGAAUCACUAGGGAGGUGAAAGAGUUCAUACAGCCAACCAGGAAGCAGUCACUCUGACAAGCCAAGCGAAGAGAUGUUUGGCCACCUGCAUCUGACUUCUAGAUCGGCUUCUGUUCUUGGGACCAGCAAUGCUUGAAUGAAAAGCUCUGCUGAUUGCCUGCUGCAGAGAAGCCUGGACCCACAGGGCACCGGGCAUGAAGGAAAGCAAGCGGUUCCGUGUUGAAGGCAAGGGUCUCUGUCCUGCAGCAGUGAACUUCCUGCCUUUGAACCCACUCACCACACUCCCUUUACGGAUCUCAGGGAAACCCCAGAGCCACGGUGCAACCCCUCCUCACCCACAUAGGCCCGCUCCCUGGCCCAGGUACGCGUUGGCUUCUUACUGGGACUUGAAGCAGCACACGUGGGCUCUGGUUCUCACCCACCACUCUCAUCAGGCGGGGCUUCCCCAGAACAAAGGGUGCCAUCUGCUCAAGGACAAACCCAGACUUCAUUUCUGUUGGUAUCUUCUUUCACCAUCUUUCCUUCCUUAGGCUGUAUUUUAAAUAUUCUCAGUCAUCCUAUCAGACGGAAUGUGUUUCACUAAAAUGUCAACUUUGUACAGUAAAUGGGUGACCCGUGGAGGAAAAAGGCCACCUACAGGACGCAUGAACAGGUUUGCAAAUUGUAGACCUGAUAAAGGACCAAUAUCCGGGAUAUACAAAGCACUCCUACAAACCGCUGCCACAGCCAUCAACAGUGACAGAAACCGGGGAGGGGGGGGAGGCGAUUCAGCCAAGCAAACACUUGUUUUUCUUCUACAAGUCAUAAAAUGGUCAAUAGCCAUGCCUCAAUGCAGGAGUCCCAGGAGAAAUGCAAAUCAAACCCACACCGGGCAGUGGUGGCGCAAGCCUUUAAUCCCAGCACUUGGGAGGCAGAGGCAGGCGGAUUUCUGAGUUCAAGGCCAGCCUGGUCUACAGAGUGAGUUCCAGGAUAGCCAGGGCUGUACAGAGAAACCCUGUCUCGAAAAACAACAACAAAAUACAAAACAAAACAAAACAAAACAGAAACUACUUCCCACCUAUCAGAGCAGCUACCAUGUAAAAACCAUUACUAGUGCUAGUAGGAUGCCCUGGACACUGUUGGUGGGAAACAAACAUGACUAACUCUGUAGAAUACACUCUUUAAAGAAAUGAAGGAAGGGAAAGGAAAGGGGAAGAGGAAAAGGAAGAAAUAGAAUUAUUGUAUGGCCCAGUAAUUCUGUUUCCAGGUAAGAACGCAAAAGAGUAUUUUAAAGGUCAUGGAGGCUGACAAGAUGGAGGAAGGGCAGGUUUAGCUGUACCUUCUGGGUCACCUGGCAGCCAUUGGUAGCUGUGUGGAAGGUGGUGGUCAUGUACUUGGAGGGCAACAAUAUUUUUGGCACUCAUCCUUCUGGAGCUGUAUUCGCCUUGGCUGGAAAACAACCAUUCCUACUUUCCACAACCCCGACAAAGACGAGAGAGGAAGCCUGAGACCUGGAGGGAGGGUAAAGGCACAGAAGGUCUCCUUAGGUAACAUGCCAGAAUGUUCCAGAAUACAGACUUUUGUGCUCAGACUCCACUUCAUAGCAAAGUCCCCUUAACCCCACCAUGGGCCUGCCUCCACACAGAGGUAAGUUGGAAACAUGGGUGCUUAGAAAGGCCUUAGAAGAAAACACAAAGACGCUGUCCAAAGCUGAGUGCCCAAGGCCGGGUGUCCAAGCCUGGGUGCCCAAGGCUGUGUGUCCAAGGCUGGGUGCCCAAGGCCAGGUGUCCAAGCCUGGGUGCCCAAGCCUGUGUGUCCAAGGCUGGGUGCCCAAGCCUGUGUGUCCAAGGCUGGGUGCCCAAGGCCAGGUGUCCAAGCCUGGGUGUCUAAGCCUAUGUGUUCAAGGCUGGGUUGGACAGCCUGGGUGUCCAAGGCUGGGUGUCCAAGACCAGGUGUCCAAGCCCGUGUGUCCAAGGCUGGGUGCCCAAUCACCCAGGCACUUGCCAGGCACCAUCGUAGGCGCACCGGGCCCAAGAGGAGAGGAUGUGGGUUUGAAUAAGACCCAGACUUGGCCCACGUUUGUCGAAAGUGUAACUGUGAACUCAGACAUCUAAAGAUGGAUCACAGAACAGUGACGCAGUUAGUGUAUGUGUGCCGAAAACUGAACAGAAGCAAAAACAAAGAGGACAAAACAAGAAACCCCUGAACUUAGAAGUGGCUGGAAUUCAAAUAUGCAUUUCCCCCGGAGGUGUAGGUGUGUAUGUGAAGUCUGUAUGCAAAAAGAGGCAGACACCGUUACUCUGCAGGGAGAUGCAAAUCCAAACCACAGUGAGAUGCCACCUCACACCCAGCCUACCUCGCUAAGGGAAAGGACAGAUCCUGACAAGUGUUCAAAGAGGUGAGACAUUGGAAUUCUCACAGCUGGCAGACAUAACAAAGCAGCUCUGUUAAACAGUUACUUUUCUCAAAGUUUAAAAAAUAGGAAAUGAAAGUUACAUAUGAGCCAGGGUUCUGAAAGAAACAAUGUCUAAGACUUUAAAUUCAGAAUUCUUUGUUCUUUCUUGACAAGAAAAAAAAAAGAAAUAAAAUUGCUCGUCAAUUUAUAC
Molecule: long non-coding RNA, 5292 nt
Organism: Mus musculus (house mouse)
Lineage: Eukaryota; Metazoa; Chordata; Mammalia; Rodentia; Muridae
Gene: Mirt1
Product: myocardial infarction associated transcript 1
Exons: 10
Source: RefSeq, marked validated